GAUGAACGCUGGCGGCGUGCCUCAUACAUGCAAGUCGAGCGAACAGACGAGGAGCUUGCUCCUCUGACGUUAGCGGCGGACGGGUGAGUAACACGUGGAUAACCUACCUAUAAGACUGGGAUAACUUCGGGAAACCGGAGCUAAUACCGGAUAAUAUAUUGAACCGCAUGGUUCAAUAGUGAAAGACGGUUUUGCUUUCACUUAUAGAUGGAUCCGCGCCGCAUUAGCUAGUUGGUAAGGUAACGGCUUACCAAGGCAACGAUGCGUAGCCGACCUGAGAGGGUGAUCGGCCACACGGGAACUGAGAAACGGUCCAGACUCCUACGGGAGGCAGCAGUAGGGAAUCUUCCGCAAUGGGCGAAAGCUUGACGGAGCAACGCCGCGUGAGUGAUGAAGGUCUUCGGAUCGUAAAACUCUGUUAUUAGGGAAGAACAAAUGUGUAAGUAACUAUGCACGUCUUGACGGUACCUAAUCAGAAAGCCACGGCUAACUACGUG
RNAcentral lists this ribosomal RNA (497 nucleotides) under uncultured bacterium. RNAcentral's name for it is "partial 16S ribosomal RNA". It matches the Rfam family "Bacterial small subunit ribosomal RNA", at positions 28 to 507 of the family's 1533-position model. The record is from RNAcentral.